CCUACGGGAGGCAACAGUGAGGAAUAUUGGUCAAUGGGCGCGAGCCUGAACCAGCCAAGUAGCGUGAAGGAUGACUGCCCUACGGGUUGUAAACUUCUUUUAUAAAGGAAUAAAGUGAGGCACGUGUGCCUUUUUGUAUGUACUUUAUGAAUAAGGAUCGGCUAACUCCGUGCCAGCAGCCGCGGUAAUACGGAGGAUCCAAGCGUUAUCCGGAUUUAUUGGGUUUAAAGGGUGCGUAGGCGGAUUGAUAAAUCAGUUGUUAAAGUUUGCGGCUCAACCGUAAAAUUGCAAUUGAUACUGGCAGUCUUGAGUACAGUUGAGGUAGGCGGAAUUCGUGGUGUAGCGGUGAAAUGCUUAGAUAUCACGAAGAACCCCGAUUGCGAAGGCAGCUUACUAAACUGUGACUGACAUUGAUGCUCGAAAGUGUGGGUAUCAAACAGGAUUAGAUACCCGGGUAGUC
RNAcentral lists this ribosomal RNA (460 nucleotides) under uncultured bacterium. Its description in RNAcentral is "partial 16S ribosomal RNA". It matches the Rfam family "Bacterial small subunit ribosomal RNA", at positions 338 to 795 of the family's 1533-position model. The record is from RNAcentral.